UCCCAGCCUGCUUUACUAUAGCACCCAGGGC
RNAcentral lists this non-coding RNA (31 nucleotides) under Rattus norvegicus (Norway rat). Lineage: Eukaryota; Metazoa; Chordata; Mammalia; Rodentia; Muridae. The record is from RNAcentral.